GGGAAUAUUGGACAAUGGGCGCAAGCCUGAUCCAGCAAUGCCGCGUGGGUGAAGAAGGUUUUCGGAUUGUAAAGCCCUUUCGGCGGGGACGAUGAUGACGGUACCCGCAGAAGAAGCUCCGGCUAACUUCGUGCCAGCAGCCGCGGGAAUACGAAGGGGGCUAGCGUUGCUCGGAAUGACUGGGCGUAAAGGGCGCGUAGGCGGUUUGCACAGUCAGAUGUGAAAUUCCUGGGCUUAACCUGGGGGCUGCAUUUGAUACGUGUAGGCUUGAGUGGGGAAGAGGGUCGUGGAAUUCCCAGUGUAGAGGUGAAAUUCGUAGAUAUUGGGAAGAACACCGGUGGCGAAGGCGGCGACCUGGUCCUUGACUGACGCUGAGGCGCGAAAGCGUGGGGAGCAAAC
This 399-nucleotide ribosomal RNA is filed under the name uncultured bacterium. Its description in RNAcentral is "bacterial SSU rRNA". It matches the Rfam family "Bacterial small subunit ribosomal RNA", at positions 357 to 773 of the family's 1533-position model. The record is from RNAcentral.